This 490-nucleotide ribosomal RNA is filed under the name uncultured bacterium. RNAcentral's name for it is "partial 16S ribosomal RNA". It matches the Rfam family "Bacterial small subunit ribosomal RNA", at positions 30 to 507 of the family's 1533-position model. The record is from RNAcentral.
AUUGAACGCUCGCGGCAUGCUUUACACAUGCAAGUCGGACGGCAGCACAGAGACGCUUGCUUCUUGGGUGGCGAGUGGCGAACGGGUGAGUAAUAUAUCGGAACGUACCGAGUAAUGGGGGAUAACUAAUCGAAAGAUUAGCUAAUACCGCAUAUUCUCUGAGGAGGAAAGCAGGGGACCUUCGGGCCUUGCGUUAUUCGAGCGGCCGAUAUCUGAUUAGCUAGUUGGUGGGGUAAAGGCCUACCAAGGCGACGAUCAGUAGCGGGUCUGAGAGGAUGAUCCGCCACACUGGGACUGAGACACGGCCCAGACUCCUACGGGAGGCAGCAGUGGGGAAUUUUGGACAAUGGGCGCAAGCCUGAUCCAGCCAUGCCGCGUGUCUGAAGAAGGCCUUCGGGUUGUAAAGGACUUUUGUCAGGGAAGAAAAGGCUGUUGCUAAUACCGACAGCUGAUGACGGUACCUGAAGAAUAAGCACCGGCUAACUACGUG